AGUGAACGCUGGCGGUAGGCCUAACACAUGCAAGUCGAACGGCAGCACAGUAAGAGCUUGCUCUUACGGGUGGCGAGUGGCGGACGGGUGAGGAAUACAUCGGAAUCUACUUUUUCGUGGGGGAUAACGUAGGGAAACUUACGCUAAUACCGCAUACAACCUACGGGUGAAAGCAUGGGAUCUUCGGACCUUGCGCGAUUGAGUGAGCCGAUGUCGGAUUAGCUAGUUGGCGGGGUAAAGGCCCACCAAGGCGGCGAUCCGUAGCUGGUCUGAGAGGAUGAUCAGCCACACUGGAACUGAGACACGGUCCAGACUCCUACGGGAGGCAGCAGUGGGGAAUAUUGGACAAUGGGCGCAAGCCUGAUCCAGCCCUACCGCGUGGGUGAAGAAGGCCUUCGGGUUGUAAAGCCCUUUUGUUGGGAAAGAAAAGCAGCAGGUUAAUACCCCGCUGUUCUGACGGUACCCAAAGAAUAAGCACCGGCUAACUUCGUG
Molecule: ribosomal RNA, 492 nt
Filed under: uncultured bacterium
Lineage: Bacteria
Description: partial 16S ribosomal RNA
Rfam family: Bacterial small subunit ribosomal RNA
Source: RNAcentral